RNAcentral lists this ribosomal RNA (891 nucleotides) under metagenome. RNAcentral's name for it is "bacterial SSU rRNA". It matches the Rfam family "Bacterial small subunit ribosomal RNA", at positions 8 to 926 of the family's 1533-position model. The record is from RNAcentral.
AGAGUUUGAUUCUGGCUCAGAUUGAACGCUGGCGGUAUGCCUAACACAUGCAAGUCGAACGGUAACGACGAAAGCUUGCUUUCGGGCGACGAGUGGCGGACGGGUGAGUAUCGCGUGGGAAUCUACCUUGUAGCGGGGGACAACUCGGGGAAACUCGAGCUAAUACCGCAUAAUCCCUUCGGGGGAAAGGCUUCGGCCACUACUAGAUGAGCCCGCGUCCGAUUAGCUUGUUGGUGAGGUAAUGGCUCACCAAGGCUACGAUCGGUAGCUGGUCUGAGAGGACGAUCAGCCACACUGGGACUUAGACACGGCCCAGACUCCUACGGGAGGCAGCAGUGGGGAAUAUUGCACAAUGGGCGAAAGCCUGAUGCAGCAAUNCCGCGUGUGUGAAGAAGGCCUGCGGGUUGUAAAGCACUUUCAGUAGGNAAGAUAAUGACGGUACCUACAGAAGAAGCACCGGCUAACUCCGUGCCAGCAGCCGCGGUAAUACGGAGGGUGCGAGCGUUAAUCGGAAUUACUGGGCGUAAAGCGCGCGUAGGCGGCUCAUUAAGUCGGAUGUGAAAGCCCUGGGCUUAACCUAGGAACUGCAUUCGAUACUGGUGGGCUAGAGUAUAGAAGAGGGAAGCGGAAUUCCGGGUGUAGCGGUGAAAUGCGUAGAUAUCCGGAGGAACACCAGUGGCGAAGGCGGCUUCCUGGGCUAAUACUGACGCUAAGGUGCGAAAGCGUGGGGAGCAAACAGGAUUAGAUACCCUGGUAGUCCACGCCCUAAACGAUGUCAACUAGCCGUUGGGUCCAUUAAAGGGCUCAGUGGCGCAGCUAACGCGAUAAGUUGACCGCCUGGGGAGUACGGCCGCAAGGUUAAAACUCAAAGAAAUUGACGGGGGCCCGCAC